This 408-nucleotide ribosomal RNA is filed under the name uncultured bacterium. RNAcentral describes it as "partial 16S ribosomal RNA". It matches the Rfam family "Bacterial small subunit ribosomal RNA", at positions 28 to 526 of the family's 1533-position model. The record is from RNAcentral.
GACGAACGCUGGCGGCGUGCUUAACACAUGCAAGUCGAACGAAGUGGCGGACGGGUGAGUAACGCGUAAUCAACCUGCCCUUCAGAGGGGGACAACAGUUGGAAACGACUGCUAAUACCGCAUACUGAAGGGGGGGAUUGCGUCGGAUUAGCUAGUUGGAGGGGUAACGGCCCCCCAAGGCGAUGAUCAGUAGCCGGUCUGGGGGGAUGAACGGGCAAAUUGGGACUGGGGAACGGCCCAGACUCCUAAGGGGGGCAGCAGGGGGGGAUCUUCCGCAAUGGAGGGAAGGCUGACGGAGCAACGCCGCGGUAGUGAUGAAGGCCUUCGGGUUGUAAAGCUAUGUUAAUCGGGACGCGGUACCGGAAGAGAAAGCCACGGCUAACUACGUGCCAGCAGCCGCGGUAAUUC